UACAGAGGUCUCAAGCGUUGUUCGGAUUCAUUGGGCGUAAAGGGUGCGUAGGUGGCGGGGUAAGUCAGGUGUGAAAUCUCGGAGCUCAACUCCGAAACUGCACUUGAUACUGCCUUGCUCGAGUACUGGAGAGGAGAUUGGAAUUUACGGUGUAGCAGUGAAAUGCGUAGAUAUCGUAAGGAAGACCAGUGGCGAAGGCGAAUCUCUGGACAGUUCCUGACGCUGAGGCACGAAGGCCAGGGGAGCAAACGGG
RNAcentral lists this ribosomal RNA (253 nucleotides) under uncultured bacterium. RNAcentral's name for it is "partial 16S ribosomal RNA". It matches the Rfam family "Bacterial small subunit ribosomal RNA", at positions 524 to 776 of the family's 1533-position model. The record is from RNAcentral.